Molecule: unclassified non-coding RNA, 414 nt
Filed under: Hevea brasiliensis (rubber tree)
Lineage: Eukaryota; Viridiplantae; Streptophyta; Magnoliopsida; Malpighiales; Euphorbiaceae
Source: RNAcentral
UUAGAAAGUUUCUCAUUUUAAGCAGUAAACAAAACUGCAGCAAAGCUGCCAUAGAUGUGCAUCCUGUGUCAACCAGAGUUGCAGGACGUAUGCAUGUACAGACUAGUUGAGCUAAAUAUUUAGGCCAACUUUAUCAUAUGAUUAGUUGUCUCGGUUGAAGCCCACACUGCUUGUGUUGAUUGGGUUCUGUGUUUCGAACUUGUAACCAUAUAGAUCUGGAGACGGCUCUGGUGAAAUCUACUUCUUUUUGACUUGGGUGGUAAUUUAGCAGCGGUUGUAUACUGGGAUUCUUGCCAGAGGGUAUUGUUUGGCAGUAGAGAUCGGUUCCUUUUUAUCCUUCAGCUAUUUGGUUAAACAUUCACUUUGCCUAAACACAACCAUCAACUGGUUCUUUGUUUCUGAAAAAAAAAAAAA